This 323-nucleotide ribosomal RNA is filed under the name uncultured eukaryote. RNAcentral describes it as "partial 18S ribosomal RNA". It matches the Rfam family "Eukaryotic small subunit ribosomal RNA", at positions 1470 to 1796 of the family's 1831-position model. The record is from RNAcentral.
CCCUUAGAUGUUCUGGGCCGCACGCGUGCUACACUGAGUAAAUCAAUGGGUAAGGGAACACGAAAGUGCAACCUAAUCUUGAAAUUUGCUCGUGAUGGGGAUCGACGGUUGCAAUUUUCCGUCGUGAACGAGGAAUACCUUGUAGGCGCGUGUCAUCAUCACGCGCCGAAUACGUCCCUGCCCUUUGUACACACCGCCCGUCGCUCCUACCGAUUGAAUGACUCGGUGAAAAAUUGGGACCGUGAGUCUGUUUGCUUCAUUGCGAGUGGAUUGAUGGGAACUUUUUUAAACCUCGCCAUUUAGAGGAAGGUGAAGUCGUAACA